This 395-nucleotide ribosomal RNA is filed under the name uncultured bacterium. RNAcentral describes it as "bacterial SSU rRNA". It matches the Rfam family "Bacterial small subunit ribosomal RNA", at positions 28 to 417 of the family's 1533-position model. The record is from RNAcentral.
GACGAACGCUGGCGGCGUGCUUAACACAUGCAAGUCGAGCGAGAAAGCUCCUUCGGGAGCGAGUACAGCGGCGAACGGGUGAGUAACACGUGGGCAACCUGCCCAAGGGAGCGGGACAACCCGGGGAAACUCGGGCUAAUACCGCAUGAUGCGUCAUGUCUCAAGGCGUGACGCCAAAAGGUAGCUUCGGCCUCCGCCCUUGGAUGGGCCCGCGGCGCAUUAGCUUGUUGGUGGGGAACGGCUCACCAAGGCGACGAUGCGUAGCUGGUCUGAGAGGACGAUCAGCCACACUGGGACUGAGACACGGCCCAGACUCCUACGGAGGCAGCAGUGGGGGAAUCUUGCGCAAUGGGCGAAAGCCUGACGCAGCGACGCCGCGUGAGGGAUGACGGCCU